RNAcentral lists this small RNA (260 nucleotides) under Histoplasma capsulatum var. duboisii H88. RNAcentral's name for it is "Histoplasma capsulatum H88 hypothetical RNA". Lineage: Eukaryota; Fungi; Ascomycota; Eurotiomycetes; Onygenales; Ajellomycetaceae. The record is from RNAcentral.
AGGGACCGACAAUGUGACACUGGUUGUGGCACCAUCUCACCUUACAAAACACUGGAACGACCAGUUUGCUCAGCACUGCAAAAAGGGGGUUCUUAAACCUGUGAUGGAGUACCAUGCUCGUUCUAAACCUAUAUCCACCGACGAUAUUGGACUUUUCCGCAGUUGCAGCGUAAUAAUAACGACAUACUCUGAAGUGCGAUCUUCUAUCCCCAAGUUUAAACCCCCUCCCGGCGUCAUCCAAGAAAACGACAAAAAACAGC